This 72-nucleotide transfer RNA is filed under the name Mesocricetus auratus (golden hamster). It matches the Rfam family "tRNA". From Rfam's summary of the family: Transfer RNA (tRNA) molecules are approximately 80 nucleotides in length. The record is from Rfam by way of RNAcentral. Lineage: Eukaryota; Metazoa; Chordata; Mammalia; Rodentia; Cricetidae.
GGGGGUGUAGUUCAAUGAUAGAGCGCAUGCUUUGCUUGCAUGAGGCCCCGGGUUUGAACCCUGGCACCUCCA